CCUACGGGUGGCAGCAGUCGAGAAUCAUUCACAAUGGGGGAAACCCUGAUGGUGCGACGCCGCGUGGGGGAAUGAAGGUCUUCGGAUUGUAAACCCCUGUCAUGUGGGAGCAAAUUAAAAAGAUAGUACCACAAGAGGAAGAGACGGCUAACUCUGUGCCAGCAGCCGCGGUAAUACAGAGGUCUCAAGAGUUGUUCGGAAUCACUGGGCGUAAGGCGUGCGUAGGCUGUUUCGUAAGUCGUGUGUGAAAGGCGCGGGCUCAACCCGCGGACGGCACAUGAUACUGCGAGGCUAGAGGUAUGGAGGGGGAAGCGGAAUGCUCGGUGUAGCAGUGAAAUGCGUAGAGAUCGAAAGGAACACUCGUGGCGAAGGCGGGUUCCUGGACAUUAACUGACGCUGAGGCACGAAGGCCAGGGGAGCGAAAGGGAUUAGAUACCCUAGUAGUC
This 446-nucleotide ribosomal RNA is filed under the name uncultured bacterium. RNAcentral's name for it is "partial 16S ribosomal RNA". It matches the Rfam family "Bacterial small subunit ribosomal RNA", at positions 338 to 795 of the family's 1533-position model. The record is from RNAcentral.